GACGAACGCUGUCGCCGUGCGUAAUACAUGCAGGUAGAACGCUGAAGAAGAAGCUUGCUUCUCUGGAUGAGUUGCGAGCGGGUGAGUAACGCGUAGGUAACCUGCCUGGUAGCGGGGGAUAACUAUUGGAAACGAUAGCUCUUACCGCAUAUGAGAAGAUGUUGCAUGACAUUUGCUUAAAAGGUGCGAUUGCGUCACUAUCAGAGGGACCUGCGUUGUGUUAGCUAUUUGUUGGGGUAACGGCUCACCAAGGCGACGAUACAUAGCCGAGCUGAGAGAGUGAUCGGCCACACUGUGACUGAGACACGCCCCAGACUCCUAUGGGGGAGAGCAGUGGGGAAUAUCCGGGAAUGGGCGGGGAUGUGACCGAGCAACGGCGCGGGUGUGAAGAGGGUUUUGAUCGUAUAGCUCUGUUGUUGGAAGAAAGAGGUGUGAGUGGAAAAAUCACACUUUGACGGGAUUUUUCUCAGAGGUGGCUAUCUAUGUGCCAGCAGCGCGGGAAUUACAGAGGGGAGCGUUAUUCGGAUUUUUUGGGGGAAAAAGAGUUUAGGCGGUUUUUAAGCUGAUGUGGAAGCUUGGGUAAAUGAAAUGUUGUUUGAAAAUGGAAACUUUGGAGCGAAAAAAAGGAGGGGAAUUCCCUGUGUAGGGGGGGAAACGUAAGAAUAUUGGAGAGAAUCCCUGGGGGGAAGGGGCUAUCCGUGUUUGCCAACUAACCUUAGACCUCAAAAUUGGGGGUGCGAAAAAGGUUUCAUAUUCCCAUAUUUUCCAAGGGGCCAAUUCCCCAUUUGGGUGCCGCCCCGGGGGGUUCCAUCAAUUUUGAGCGGGCCCCUCCGCGUGGGUUUCUAUUGCCCCUUAGGGGGAGGGAUUACAGGGGCUCCCCCCCCCCCCCCUAAAAAACGGCGGGCUGGGAAAACCUUGGGGGUACAUAACAUAAACGCCUUGGAGCAUUUCCUCUUUCGCCCUGGGGGGUUAAAAGCGUGGUGUCCGGG
RNAcentral lists this ribosomal RNA (989 nucleotides) under Rothia mucilaginosa. RNAcentral's name for it is "partial 16S ribosomal RNA". The stretch from base 1 to 832 matches the Rfam family "Bacterial small subunit ribosomal RNA", at positions 28 to 873 of the family's 1533-position model. Lineage: Bacteria; Bacillati; Actinomycetota; Actinomycetes; Micrococcales; Micrococcaceae. The record is from RNAcentral.